GAGGAGAACAUAGCAGUCUGAGUGAAU
This 27-nucleotide non-coding RNA is filed under the name Cricetulus griseus (Chinese hamster). The record is from RNAcentral. Lineage: Eukaryota; Metazoa; Chordata; Mammalia; Rodentia; Cricetidae.